This 149-nucleotide non-coding RNA is filed under the name Otolemur garnettii (small-eared galago). The record is from Rfam by way of RNAcentral. Lineage: Eukaryota; Metazoa; Chordata; Mammalia; Primates; Galagidae.
GCCAGGCAUGGUAGCUCAUGCCUGUAAUCCUAGAACUCUGGGAGGCUGAGGCAGGAGGAUUGCUUGAGCCCAGGAGUUUGAGGUUGCUGUGAGCUAGGCUGAUGCCACGGCACUCUCGCCUGGGUGACAGAGUGAGACUCUUGUCUCAA